This 468-nucleotide ribosomal RNA is filed under the name uncultured bacterium. RNAcentral's name for it is "partial 16S ribosomal RNA". It matches the Rfam family "Bacterial small subunit ribosomal RNA", at positions 28 to 507 of the family's 1533-position model. The record is from RNAcentral.
GACGAACGCUGGCGGCGUGCUUAACACAUGCAAGUCGAACGGAAAGGCCCUGCUUUUGUGGGGUGCUCGAGUGGCGAACGGGUGAGUAACACGUGAGUAACCUGCCCUUGACUUUGGGAUAACUUCAGGAAACUGGGGCUAAUACCGGAUAGGAGCUCCUGCUGCAUGGUGGGGGUUGGAAAGUUUCGGCGGUUGGGGAUGGACUCGCGGCUUAUCAGCUUGUUGGUGGGGUAGUGGCUUACCAAGGCUUUGACGGGUAGCCGGCCUGAGAGGGUGACCGGCCACAUUGGGACUGAGAUACGGCCCAGACUCCUACGGGAGGCAGCAGUGGGGAAUAUUGCACAAUGGGCCGAAGCCUGAGGCAGCAACGCCGCGGUCGGGAUGACGGCCUUCGGGUUGUAAACCGCUUUCGCCUGUGACGAAGCGUGAGUGACGGUAAUGGGUAAAGAAGCACCGGCUAACUACGUG